This 482-nucleotide ribosomal RNA is filed under the name uncultured bacterium. Its description in RNAcentral is "bacterial SSU rRNA". It matches the Rfam family "Bacterial small subunit ribosomal RNA", at positions 30 to 506 of the family's 1533-position model. The record is from RNAcentral.
UUGAACGCUGGCGGCAUGCCUAACACAUGCAAGUCGAGCGGAUGAGGAGUGCUUGCACUCCGAUUCAGCGGCGGACGGGUGAGUAAUGCCUAGGAAUCUGCCUGGUAGUGGGGGACAACGUUUCGAAAGGAACGCUAAUACCGCAUACGUCCUACGGGAGAAAGCAGGGGACCUUCGGGCCUUGCGCUAUCAGAUGAGCCUAGGUCGGAUUAGCUAGUUGGUGGGGUAAAGGCUCACCAAGGCGACGAUCCGUAACUGGGCUGAGAGGAUGAUCAGCCACACUGGAACUGAGACACGGUCCAGACUCCUACGGGAGGCAGCAGGGGGGAAUAUUGGACAAUGGGCGAAAGCCUGAUCCAGCCAUGCCGCGUGUGUGAAGAAGGUCUUCGGAUUGUAAAGCACUUUAAGUUGGGAGGAAGGGCAUUAACCUAAUACGUUAGUGUUUUGACGUUACCGACAGAAUAAGCACCGGCUAACUUCGU